This 122-nucleotide ribosomal RNA is filed under the name Octodon degus (degu). Lineage: Eukaryota; Metazoa; Chordata; Mammalia; Rodentia; Octodontidae. The record is from RNAcentral.
GUCUACAGCCAUACUAUCCUCAAUGCACCCAAUCUCACCUGACCUCAGAAACUAAGCAGGGUUGAGCCUUGUUAAUAUUUGAAUGGGAGAAGUCACUUCUUAACAUCAAGUUUGAAAUGACU